AAUCAACGCUGGCGGCGUGCCUCAGACAUGCAAGUCGAACGCGAAAGGCCCCUUCGGGGGCCGAGUAGAGUGGCGUCCGGGUGAGUAACACGUGGGGUAAUCUACCUUCGGGUGGGGAAUAACGACCGGAAACGGUCGCUAAUACCGCAUAAUGCCGCGGCACCUAAUGGUGACAGUUGUUAAAGCGGGGGAUCGCAAGACCUCGCGCCUGAAGAGGAGCCCGCGGCGGAUUAGCUAGUUGGCAGGGUAACGGCCUACCAAGGCGACGAUCCGUAGCCGGCCUGAGAGGGCGGUCGGGCCACACUGGCACUGACACACGGGCCAGACUCCUACGGGAGGCAGCAGUCGGGAAUUUUGGGCAAUGGGCGAAAGCCUGACCCAGCAACGCCGCGUGAAGGAUGAAGCUUUUCGGAGUGUAAACUU
Molecule: ribosomal RNA, 423 nt
Filed under: uncultured bacterium
Lineage: Bacteria
Description: bacterial SSU rRNA
Rfam family: Bacterial small subunit ribosomal RNA
Source: RNAcentral